This 301-nucleotide ribosomal RNA is filed under the name uncultured bacterium. Its description in RNAcentral is "partial 16S ribosomal RNA". It matches the Rfam family "Bacterial small subunit ribosomal RNA", at positions 509 to 808 of the family's 1533-position model. The record is from RNAcentral.
CAGCCGCCGCGGGAAUACAGAGGGUGCAAGCGUUAAUCGGAAUUACUGGGCGUAAAGCGCGCGUAGGUGGUUCGCCAAGUUGGAUGUGAAAUCCCCGGGCUCAACCUGGGAACUGCAUCCAAACUGGCGAGCUAGAGUAUGGUAGAGGGUGGUGGAAUUUCCUGUGUAGCGGUGAAAUGCGUAGAUAUAGGAAGGAACACCAGUGGCGAAGGCGACCACCUGGACUGAUACUGACACUGAGGUGCGAAAGCGUGGGGAGCAAACAGGAUUAGAUACCCCUGUAGUCCCUGUCUCUUAUACA